Molecule: ribosomal RNA, 587 nt
Filed under: uncultured bacterium
Lineage: Bacteria
Description: bacterial SSU rRNA
Rfam family: Bacterial small subunit ribosomal RNA
Source: RNAcentral
CCUACGGGAGGCAGCAGUAGGGAAUCUUCCACAAUGGACGAAAGUCUGAUGGAGCAACGCCGCGUGAGCGAUGAAGGCCUUCGGGUCGUAAAGCUCUGUUGUUAGGGAAGAACAAGUACCGGAGUAACUGCCGGUACCUUGACGGUACCUAACCAGAAAGCCACGGCUAACUACGUGCCAGCAGCCGCGGUAAUACGUAGGUGGCAAGCGUUGUCCGGAAUUAUUGGGCGUAAAGCGCGCGCAGGCGGUCCUUUAAGUCUGAUGUGAAAGCCCACGGCUCAACCGUGGAGGGUCAUUGGAAACUGGGGGACUUGAGUACAGAAGAGGAAAGCGGAAUUCCACGUGUAGCGGUGAAAUGCGUAGAGAUGUGGAGGAACACCAGUGGCGAAGGCGGCUUUCUGGUCUGUAACUGACGCUGAGGCGCGAAAGCGUGGGGAGCAAACAGGAUUAGAUACCCUGGUAGUCCACGCCGUAAACGAUGAGUGCUAAGUGUUAGGGGGUUUCCGCCCCUUAGUGCUGCAGCUAACGCAUUAAGCACUCCGCCUGGGGAGUACGGCCGCAAGGCUGAAACUCAAAGGAAUUGACGG